RNAcentral lists this ribosomal RNA (245 nucleotides) under uncultured Ilumatobacter sp. RNAcentral's name for it is "partial 16S ribosomal RNA". It matches the Rfam family "Bacterial small subunit ribosomal RNA", at positions 524 to 767 of the family's 1533-position model. The record is from RNAcentral. Lineage: Bacteria; Bacillati; Actinomycetota; Acidimicrobiia; Acidimicrobiales; Ilumatobacteraceae.
CACGUAGGCACCAAGCGUUGUCCGGAUUUAUUGAGCGUAAAGAGCUCGUAGGCGGUUCGGUAAGUCGGGUGUGAAAACUCUGGGCUCAACCCAGAGCCGCCACCCGAUACUGCUGUGACUCGAGUGCGGUAGGGGAGCGGGGAAUUCCUGGUGUAGCGGUGAAAUGCGCAGAUAUCAGGAGGAACACCAGUGGCGAAGGCGCCGCUCUGGGCCGUGACUGACGCUGAGGAGCGAAAGCGUGGGUA